GUGGGGAAUAUUGGACAAUGGGGGGAACCCUGAUCCAGCCAUGCCGCGUGUGUGAAGAAGGCCUUUUGGUUGUAAAGCACUUUAAGCGAGGAGGAGGCUACCGAGAUUAAUACUCUUGGAUAGUGGACGUUACUCGCAGAAUAAGCACCGGCUAACUCUGUGCCAGCAGCCGCGGUAAUACAGAGGGUGCAAGCGUUAAUCGGAUUUACUGGGCGUAAAGCGCGCGUAGGUGGCCAAUUAAGUCAAAUGUGAAAUCCCCGAGCUUAACUUGGGAAUUGCAGUCGAUACUGGUUGGCUAGAGUAUGGGAGAGGAUGGUAGAAUUCCAGGUGUAGCGGUGAAAUGCGUAGAGAUCUGGAGGAAUACCGAUGGCGAAGGCAGCCAUCUGGCCUAAUACUGACACUGAGGUGCGAAAGCAUGGGGAGCAAACAGGAUUAGAUACCCCUGUAGUCC
Molecule: ribosomal RNA, 451 nt
Filed under: uncultured bacterium
Lineage: Bacteria
Description: partial 16S ribosomal RNA
Rfam family: Bacterial small subunit ribosomal RNA
Source: RNAcentral